This is a long non-coding RNA of Corvus hawaiiensis (hawaiian crow), 181 nucleotides long. RefSeq lists it as uncharacterized. The record is from RefSeq and is a predicted model, not a curated record. Lineage: Eukaryota; Metazoa; Chordata; Aves; Passeriformes; Corvidae. The transcript is spliced from 3 exons.
AGGACUGUGACCACUGCUGUUGACAAGACUGCUCCCAUCACUUGGACAGGACUGUGUCCACCACUCUGCCCAACAGGAUUUCCUACUCCCAAACCUUGGCCAGAUGGAGGAGGAGGCUGUGAGGAAGAGGAAGAUGCCCCGGAACACCCAGGCAGACAAGGAGCUGAGGACAGAGCCCAGG